GUAGGGAAUAUUGGACAAUGGGGGCAACCCUGAUCCAGCGACGCCGCGUGAGUGAUGAAGGCCUUCGGGUCGUAAAGCUCUGUUGCAGGGGAAGAACACAAUGACGGUACCCUGCUAGAAAGGAUCGGCUAACUUCGUGCCAGCAGCCGCGGUAAGACGAGGGAUCCUAGCGUUGUUCGGAAUUAUUGGGCGUAAAGCGGGUGCAGGUGGCUUGGUAAGUCAGAUGUGAAAGCCUGGGGCUUAACCCCAGAAGUGCAUUUGAUACUGCUGAGCUUGAGUGCUGGAGAGGCUAUUAGAAUUCCUGGUGUAGUGGUGAAAUACGUAGAUAUCAGGAGGAAUACCGGAGGCGAAGGCGGAUAGCUGGCCAGACACUGACACUCAGACCCGAAAGCGUGGGGAGCAAACAGGAUUAGAUACCCGGGUAGUCC
RNAcentral lists this ribosomal RNA (428 nucleotides) under uncultured bacterium. Its description in RNAcentral is "partial 16S ribosomal RNA". It matches the Rfam family "Bacterial small subunit ribosomal RNA", at positions 354 to 796 of the family's 1533-position model. The record is from RNAcentral.